This 795-nucleotide ribosomal RNA is filed under the name uncultured bacterium. RNAcentral's name for it is "bacterial SSU rRNA". It matches the Rfam family "Bacterial small subunit ribosomal RNA", at positions 8 to 798 of the family's 1533-position model. The record is from RNAcentral.
AGAGUUUGAUCCUGGCUCAGAUUGAACGCUGGCGGCAGGCCUAACACAUGCAAGUCGAGCGGAUGAAGGGAGCUUGCUCCUGGAUUCAGCGGCGGACGGGUGAGUAAUGCCUAGGAAUCUGCCUGGUAGUGGGGGAUAACGUCCGGAAACGGGCGCUAAUACCGCAUACGUCCUGAGGGAGAAAGUGGGGGAUCUUCGGACCUCACGCUAUCAGAUGAGCCUAGGUCGGAUUAGCUAGUUGGUGGGGUAAAGGCCUACCAAGGCGACGAUCCGUAACUGGUCUGAGAGGAUGAUCAGUCACACUGGAACUGAGACACGGUCCAGACUCCUACGGGAGGCAGCAGUGGGGAAUAUUGGACAAUGGGCGAAAGCCUGAUCCAGCCAUGCCGCGUGUGUGAAGAAGGUCUUCGGAUUGUAAAGCACUUUAAGUUGGGAGGAAGGGCAGUAAGUUAAUACCUUGCUGUUUUGACGUUACCAAUAGAAUAAGCACCGGCUAACUUCGUGCCAGCAGCCGCGGUAAUACGAAGGGUGCAAGCGUUAAUCGGAAUUACUGGGCGUAAAGCGCGCGUAGGUGGUUCAGCAAGUUGGAUGUGAAAUCCCCGGGCUCAACCUGGGAACUGCAUCCAAAACUACUGAGCUAGAGUACGGUAGAGGGUGGUGGAAUUUCCUGUGUAGCGGUGAAAUGCGUAGAUAUAGGAAGGAACACCAGUGGCGAAGGCGACCACCUGGACUGAUACUGACACUGAGGUGCGAAAGCGUGGGGAGCAAACAGGAUUAGAUACCCCGGUAGUCCAA